Non-coding RNA from Brassica napus (rape), 87 nucleotides. The record is from Rfam. NCBI's taxonomy places the organism in Eukaryota, Viridiplantae, Streptophyta, Magnoliopsida, Brassicales, Brassicaceae.
UCGUGCCUGGCUCCCUGUAUGCCACAAGUAUAUACCGAUCUCGUUACGAAAUCUAUGGCUAGUGGCGUACAGAGUAGUCAAGCAUGA